GCAGUGCUCCGGUCUGUCGCUGGCAUCUUUCAGGUGCGAGAGGAAAGUCCGGGCAGCAUAGGGCAUCCCACUUCCGAAACUAGAAGCUAUUGGUGACAGUAGGUGUCGGUAGAAGAAAAUAACCGCUUUCACUUAUCCCGUUUGUCCAGUCUGGGGUGGUGAGAGUAAGGGUGAGAAGGUGGUGUAAGAGACCACCAGCUGGCGGGUGAUCGUCAGGCUGUGCCAUCUGGGAGCUGUAAGCUCAUGUAUACCGCAGAUUGAGGGCGGCUCGUCCGAUUGCCUUCGGGCUGCUGUGGAGGGUAG
Molecule: RNase P RNA, 303 nt
Filed under: Segatella copri
Lineage: Bacteria; Pseudomonadati; Bacteroidota; Bacteroidia; Bacteroidales; Prevotellaceae
Description: partial RNase P RNA component class A
Rfam family: Bacterial RNase P class A
About the family: Ribonuclease P (RNase P) is a ubiquitous endoribonuclease, found in archaea, bacteria and eukarya as well as chloroplasts and mitochondria. Its best characterised activity is the generation of mature 5'-ends of tRNAs by cleaving the 5'-leader elements of precursor-tRNAs. Cellular RNase Ps are ribonucleoproteins.
Source: RNAcentral